ACGUAGGGUGCGAGCGUUGUCCGGAAUUAUUGGGCGUAAAGAGCUUGUAGGCGGUUUGUCGCGUCUGCCGUGAAAGCCCAGGGCUUAACCCUGGGUCUGCGGUGGGUACGGGCAGGCUAGAGUGUGGUAGGGGAGACUGGACUUCCUGGUGUAGCGGUGAAAUGCGCAGAUAUCAGGAGGAACACCGAUGGCGAAGGCAGGUCUCUGGGCCACUACUGACGCUGAGAAGCGAAAGCAUGGGGAGCGAACAGGA
This 253-nucleotide ribosomal RNA is filed under the name uncultured prokaryote. Its description in RNAcentral is "partial 16S ribosomal RNA". It matches the Rfam family "Bacterial small subunit ribosomal RNA", at positions 525 to 777 of the family's 1533-position model. The record is from RNAcentral.